GCGCAUUUGGUUUUAUGUAUUGAGGAGAUCACAAGAGGUAUUUUCAAGCAUUUUCUCCCUUAUUUCAAUCUGGAAACUUCAGAGAGGAAACUGUAAGAUGCAACAAUUUUCAUUUUGUAUCAGGAACUGAAGUAUGGAAUCAAACUAAGAGAAACAGAAGCACAGAACUAAGAUCAAGGGGGCCUCAUCUUCAAGUCCUGUGGCUGUUUCUUUGCUCUGCUUGGCUCCGCUUUGUUCUUUUUGUCUGCCUUAAACUGCCAAGCAUAUGAUUUCUGAAUAAAUCAGGUGCGAAACUGGAAACUGACGAAUACUUCGUCUUGCCCCGAUGUCCCUGGCAGUGCCAGAUAGCUACUGGGGCUCAGAAAAGUGACAGGAACCACCUGUGGCUCUGAACAUGAGAAGGAUAU
Long non-coding RNA from Neopsephotus bourkii (Bourke's parrot), 407 nucleotides. RefSeq lists it as uncharacterized. The transcript is spliced from 3 exons. Lineage: Eukaryota; Metazoa; Chordata; Aves; Psittaciformes; Psittacidae. The record is from RefSeq and is a predicted model, not a curated record.